This 73-nucleotide transfer RNA is filed under the name Spirochaetales bacterium. Its description in RNAcentral is "tRNA-Arg". It matches the Rfam family "tRNA". Rfam says of the family: Transfer RNA (tRNA) molecules are approximately 80 nucleotides in length. Their secondary structure includes four short double-helical elements and three loops (D, anti-codon, and T loops). The record is from RNAcentral. Lineage: Bacteria; Pseudomonadati; Spirochaetota; Spirochaetia; Spirochaetales.
GAGCCUGUAGCUCAGUGGAUAGAGCAUCAGAUUGCGGAUCUGGGGGUCGGAGGUUCGACUCCUCUCAGGCUCG